RNAcentral lists this ribosomal RNA (256 nucleotides) under Diversispora epigaea. The record is from RNAcentral. Lineage: Eukaryota; Fungi; Glomeromycota; Glomeromycetes; Diversisporales; Diversisporaceae.
CAGUCGCGUUGGCUGGAAAUCAACCUUACUUCUGUUGGGUGUACUUUCUAGUCGAUGGGUCAGCAUCAAUUUUAAUCAUUGGAUAAAGUCUUUGGGAAUGUGGCUUCUUCGGAAGUGUUAUAGCCUUUGGUCGCGUACAAUGGUUGGGAUUGAGGAACUCAGCACGCCGCAAGGCCGGGUUUUUAACCACGUUCGUGCUUAGGAUGCUGGCAUAAUGGCUUUAAACGCCCGUCUUGAAACACGGACCAAGGAGUCU